RNAcentral lists this unclassified non-coding RNA (209 nucleotides) under Ophiorrhiza kuroiwae. RNAcentral describes it as "ITS2". Lineage: Eukaryota; Viridiplantae; Streptophyta; Magnoliopsida; Gentianales; Rubiaceae. The record is from RNAcentral.
AUCGCGUCGCCACGGCCGCCAUAUUCUUGUCGACGGGUGACGGAAAUUGGCCUCCCGUGCCGCAAGGUGCGGUUGGCCUAAAUGCGAUUCCUUAGCUGGGGAUGUCACGACAAGUGGUGGUUGAAUUACUCAACUCGCGUGUUGUCGCGCCAGUACCCUUAGCGAGAUUAUUUUGACCCUCGAGCCUGAGUUAUCUCAGGCCCUCGACC